UUGAGCAAUGCGCAUGUGCGG
This 21-nucleotide microRNA is filed under the name Caenorhabditis elegans. RNAcentral describes it as "microRNA miR-233". The record is from RNAcentral. Lineage: Eukaryota; Metazoa; Nematoda; Chromadorea; Rhabditida; Rhabditidae. RNAcentral also lists the same sequence under 1 other name.